This 166-nucleotide non-coding RNA is filed under the name uncultured Paenibacillus sp. The record is from RNAcentral. Lineage: Bacteria; Bacillati; Bacillota; Bacilli; Caryophanales; Paenibacillaceae.
CGUCGCGAGGCGGAAUCCGGAGGAAGCCGGAGGCAAAAGCACGGGCCAAGGUACACGAACUGGAUUUGAGGCAGGAUGAGAUGGAUGAGUUGCCUGCACACAACGAAAUCCAUAGCCGCCAAAGGUCUCAUCCUGUAAACUCCAGUGGUCGCGGGCGGAAAGUUGA